RNAcentral lists this ribosomal RNA (1170 nucleotides) under Escherichia coli. RNAcentral describes it as "partial 23S ribosomal RNA". It matches the Rfam family "Bacterial large subunit ribosomal RNA", at positions 1 to 1212 of the family's 2925-position model. The record is from RNAcentral. Lineage: Bacteria; Pseudomonadati; Pseudomonadota; Gammaproteobacteria; Enterobacterales; Enterobacteriaceae.
GGUUAAGCGACUAAGCGUACACGGUGGAUGCCCUGGCAGUCAGAGGCGAUGAAGGACGUGCUAAUCUGCGAUAAGCGUCGGUAAGGUGAUAUGAACCGUUAUAGCCGGCGAUUUCCGAAUGGGGAAACCCAGUGUGUUUCGACACACUAUCAUUAACUGAAUCCAUAGGUUAAUGAGGCGAACCGGGGGAACUGAAACAUCUAAGUACCCCGAGGAAAAGAAAUCAACCGAGAUUCCCCCAGUAGCGGCGAGCGAACGGGGAGGAGCCCAGAGCCUGAAUCAGUAUGUGUGUUAGUGGAAGCGUCUGGAAAGACGCGCGAUACAGGGUGACAGCCCCGUACACAAAAAUGCACAUAUUGUGAGCUCGAUGAGUAGGGCGGGACACGUGGUAUCCUGUCUGAAUAUGGGGGGACCAUCCUCCAAGGCUAAAUACUCCUGACUGACCGAUAGUGAACCAGUACCGUGAGGGAAAGGCGAAAAGAACCCCGGCGAGGGGAGUGAAAAAGAACCUGAAACCGUGUACGUACAAGCAGUGGGAGCACGCUUAGGCGUGUGACUGCGUACCUUUUGUAUAAUGGGUCAGCGACUUAUAUUCUGUAGCAAGGUUAACCGAAUAGGGGAGCCGAAGGGAAACCGAGUCUUAACUGGGCGUUAAGUUGCAGGGUAUAGACCCGAAACCCGGUGAUCUAGCCAUGGGCAGGUUGAAGGUUGGGUAACACUAACUGGAGGACCGAACCGACUAAUGUUGAAAAAUUAGCGGAUGACUUGUGGCUGGGGGUGAAAGGCCAAUCAAACCGGGAGAUAGCUGGUUCUCCCCGAAAGCUAUUUAGGUAGCGCCUCGUGAACUCAUCUCCGGGGGUAGAGCACUGUUUCGGCAAGGGGGUCAUCCCGACUUACCAACCCGAUGCAAACUGCGAAUACCGGAGAAUGUUAUCACGGGAGACACACGGCGGGUGCUAACGUCCGUCGUGAAGAGGGAAACAACCCAGACCGCCAGCUAAGGUCCCAAAGUCAUGGUUAAGUGGGAAACGAUGUGGGAAGGCCCAGACAGCCAGGAUGUUGGCUUAGAAGCAGCCAUCAUUUAAAGAAAGCGUAAUAGCUCACUGGUCGAGUCGGCCUGCGCGGAAGAUGUAACGGGGCUAAACCAUGCACCGAAGCUGCGGCAGCGAC